UGCAGUCGAGCGGACAGAUGGGAGCUUGCUCCCUGAUGUYAGCGGCGGACGGGUGAGUAACACGUGGGUAACCUGCCUGUAAGACUGGGAUAACUCCGGGAAACCGGGGCUAAUACCGGAUGCUGUUGACGAUGUUAAUGAACCGCAUCGGUCCAUCAAACAUAAAAGGUGGCUUCGGCUACCACUUACAGAUGGACCCGCGGCGCAUUAGCUAGUUGGUGAGGUAAUGGCAGCCAGCCCUCGGGGAGCAUAGGAUCUCGAUGGCGAGUCGUGGACAGCCGUGGUAUGAGUUUCGUCUAAGCUUUCGGGGCAGCAGUAGGGAAUCUUCCGCAAUGGACGAAACGUCUGACGGAGCAACGCCGCGUGAGUGAUGAAGGUUUUCGGAUCGUAAAGCUCUGUUGUUAGGGAAGAACAAGUACCGUUCGAAUAGGGCGGYACCUUGACGGUACCUAACAGAAAGCCACGGCUAACUACGUGCCAGCAGCCGCGGUAAUACGUAGGUGGCAAGCGUUUUCCGGAAUUAUUGGGCGUAAAGGGCUCGCAGGCGGUUUCUAAGUCUGAUGUGAAAGCCCCCGGCUCAACCGGGGAGGGUCAUUGGAAACUGGGGAACUUGAGUGCAGAAGAGGAGAGUGGAAUUCCACGUGUAGCGGUGAAAUGCGUAGAGAUGUGGAGGAACACCAGUGGCGAAGGCGACUCUCUGGUCUGUAACUGACGCUGAGGAGCGAAAGCGUGGGGAGCGAACAGGAUUAGAUACCCUGGUAGUCCACGCCGUAAACGAUGAGUGCUAAGUGUUAGGGGGUUUCCGCCCCUUAGUGCUGCAGCUAACGCAUUAAGCACUCCGCCUGGGGAGUACGGUCGCAAGACUGAAACUCAAAGGAAUUGACGGGGGCCCGCACAAGCGGUGGAGCAUGUGGUUUAAUUCGAAGCAACGCGAAGAACCUUACCAGGUCUUGACAUCCUCUGACAAUCCUAGAGAUAGGACGUCCCCUUCGGGGGCAGAGUGACAGGUGGUGCAUGGUUGUCGUCAGCUCGUGUCGUGAGAUGUUGGGUUAAGUCCCGCAACGAGCGCAACCCUUGAUCUUAGUUGCCAGCAUUCAGUUGGGCACUCUAAGGUGACUGCCGGUGACAAACCGGAGGAAGGUGGGGAUGACGUCAAAUCAUCAUGCCCCUUAUGACCUGGGCUACACACGUGCUACAAUGGACAGAACAAAGGGCAGCAAAACCGCGAGGUUAAGCCAAUCCCACAAAUCUGUUCUCAGUUCGGAUCGCAGUCUGCAACUCGACUGCGUGAAGCUGGAAUCGCUAGUAAUCGCGGAUCAGCAUGCCGCGGUGAAUACGUUCCCGGGCCUUGUACACACCGCCCGUCACACCACGAGAGUUUGUAACACCCGAAGUCGGUGAGGUAACCUUUAUGGACCAGCCGCCGAAGGUGGGACAGAUGAUUGGG
RNAcentral lists this ribosomal RNA (1447 nucleotides) under Bacillus sp. (in: firmicutes). RNAcentral describes it as "bacterial SSU rRNA". Lineage: Bacteria; Bacillati; Bacillota; Bacilli; Caryophanales; Bacillaceae. The record is from RNAcentral.